Molecule: unclassified non-coding RNA, 378 nt
Filed under: uncultured delta proteobacterium
Lineage: Bacteria; Deltaproteobacteria
Description: contains 16S-23S intergenic spacer region
Source: RNAcentral
UCUGGCUUAUAGCCAAGCGGUACCCUUAGAGUGCCCAACUUAAUGAUGGUAACUAAGGGCGAGGGUUGCGCUCGUUGCGGGACUUAACCCAACAUCUCACAACACGAGCUGACGACAGCCAUGCAGCACCUGUCUCCGCGUCCCCUAAGGGAACCCUCCAUCUCUGGAGGUAGCGCGGGAUGUCAAGCCCAGGUAAGGUUUUUCGCGUAGCAUCGAAUUAAACCACAUACUCCACCGCUUGUGCGGGCCCCCGUCAAUUUCUUUGAGUUUUAAUCUUGCGACCGUACUUCCCAGGCGGAUCACUUAACGCGUUAGCUGCGACACCAAAAAGAUUAGGCUUUCUGACGUCUAGUGAUCAUCGUUUAGGGCGUGGACUAC